Molecule: ribosomal RNA, 254 nt
Filed under: uncultured bacterium
Lineage: Bacteria
Description: partial 16S ribosomal RNA
Rfam family: Bacterial small subunit ribosomal RNA
Source: RNAcentral
UACGUAGGGUGCGAGCGUUGUCCGGAAUUACUGGGCGUAAAGAGCUCGUAGGUGGUUUGUCGCGUCGUUUGUGUAAGUCCACGGCUUAACUGUGGGAUGGCAGGCGAUACGGGCAUAACUUGAGUGCUGUAGGGAAGACUGGAAUUCCUGGUGUAGCGGUGAAAUGCGCAGAUAUCAGGAGGAACACCGAUGGCGAAGGCAGGUCUCUGGGCAGUAACUGACGCUGAGGAGCGAAAGCAUGGGUAGCGAACAGG